Molecule: ribosomal RNA, 506 nt
Filed under: uncultured bacterium
Lineage: Bacteria
Description: partial 16S ribosomal RNA
Rfam family: Bacterial small subunit ribosomal RNA
Source: RNAcentral
GAUGAACGCUAGCGGCAGGCUUAACACAUGCAAGUCGAGGGGCAGCAUAUUUUGUAGUAAUACAAGAUGAUGGCGACCGGCGCACGGGUGCGUAACGCGUAUGCAACCUACCAUAUACAGGGGGAUAAACUUUCGAAAGGGAGCCUAAUACCCCAUAGUAUUAUUUUAAGGCAUCUUGCAAUAAUUAAAGAUUAAUUGGUAUAUGAUGGGCAUGCGUGUCAUUAGCUAGUUGGUAAGGUAACGGCUUACCAAGGCGACGAUGACUAGGGGUUCUGAGAGGAAGAUCCCCCACACUGGUACUGAGACACGGACCAGACUCCUACGGGAGGCAGCAGUGAGGAAUAUUGGUCAAUGGGCGAGAGCCUGAACCAGCCAUGCCGCGUGCAGGAAGACGGCCCUAUGGGUUGUAAACUGCUUUUAUGUGAGGAUAAACCUAUUCUUGCGAGAGUAGCUGAAGGUAUCACAUGAAUAAGGAUCGGCUAACUCCGUGCCAGCCGCCGCAGUAA